GUGGGGAAUUUUGGACAAUGGGCGCAAGCCUGAUCUAGCCAUGCCGCGUGAGCGAUGAAGGCCUUAGGGUUGUAAAGCUCUUUCGUGGGGGAAGAUAAUGACUGUACCCCAAGAAGAAGCCCCGGCUAACUCCGUGCCAGCAGCCGCGGUAAUACGGAGGGGGCUAGCGUUGUUCGGAAUUACUGGGCGUAAAGCGCACGUAGGCGGACUGGAAAGUCAGGGGUGAAAUCCCGGGGCUCAACCCCGGAACUGCCUUUGAAACUCCCAGUCUUGAGUUCGAGAGAGGUGAGUGGAAUUCCGAGUGUAGAGGUGAAAUUCGUAGAUAUUCGGAGGAACACCAGUGGCGAAGGCGGCUCACUGGCUCGAUACUGACGCUGAGGUGCGAAAGCGUGGGGAGCAAACAGGAUUAGAUACCCGAGUAGUCC
RNAcentral lists this ribosomal RNA (425 nucleotides) under uncultured bacterium. Its description in RNAcentral is "partial 16S ribosomal RNA". It matches the Rfam family "Bacterial small subunit ribosomal RNA", at positions 354 to 796 of the family's 1533-position model. The record is from RNAcentral.